AAUACUAAGCCAUGCGAGUCAUUGUAGCAAUACAAGGCAGACGGCUCAGUAACGCGUAGUCAACCUACCCUAUGGACGGGAAUAACCUCGGGAAACUGAGGAUAAUGCCCGAUAGAACAUUAUGCCUGGAAUGGUUUAUGUUCCAAAUGAUUUAUCGCCGUAGGAUGGGACUGCGGCCUAUCAGUUUGUUGGUGAGGUAAUGGCCCACCAAGACUAUUACAGGUACGGGCUCUGAGAGGAGUGGCCCGGAGAUGGGUACUGAGACACGGACCCAGGCCCUAUGGGGCGCAGCAGGCGAGAAAACUUUGCAAUGUGCGAAAGCACGACAAGGUUAAUCCGAGUGGUUUCUGCUAAAGGAACCUUUUGUUAGUCCUAGAAACACUAACGAAUAAGGGGUGGGCAAGUUCUGGUGUCAGCCGCCGCGGUAAAACCAGCACCUCAAGUGGUCAGGAUGAUUAUUGGGCCUAAAGCAUCCGUAGCCGGUUCUGUAAGUUUUCGGUUAAAUCUGUACGCUCAACGUACGGGCUGCCGGAAAUACUGCAGAGCUAGGGAGUGGGAGAGGUAGACGGUACUCGGGAGGAAGGGGUAAAAUCCUUUGAUCUCUCGAUGACCACCUGUGGCGAAGGCGGUCUACCAGAACACGUCCGACGGUGAGGGAUGAAAGCUGGGGGAGCAAACCGGAUUAGAUACCCGGGUAGUCCCAGCUGUAAACUAUGCAAACUCAGUGAUGCAUUGGCUUGUGGCCAAUGCAGUGCUGCAGGGAAGCCGUUAAGUUUGCCGCCUGGGAAGUAC
Molecule: ribosomal RNA, 792 nt
Filed under: crenarchaeote enrichment clone CULT1233a
Lineage: Archaea; Thermoproteati; Thermoproteota
Also listed under: 1 other name
Description: bacterial SSU rRNA
Rfam family: Archaeal small subunit ribosomal RNA
Source: RNAcentral